This 498-nucleotide ribosomal RNA is filed under the name uncultured bacterium. Its description in RNAcentral is "partial 16S ribosomal RNA". It matches the Rfam family "Bacterial small subunit ribosomal RNA", at positions 27 to 507 of the family's 1533-position model. The record is from RNAcentral.
GGAUGAACGCUGGCGGCGUGCCUAAUACAUGCAAGUCGAGCGAACGGACGAGAAGCUUGCUUCUCUGAUGUUAGCGGCGGACGGGUGAGUAACACGUGGAUAACCUACCUAUAAGACUGGGAUAACUUCGGGAAACCGUAGCUAAUACCGGAUAAUAUUUUGAACCGCAUGGUUCAAAAGUGAAAGACGGUCUUGCUGUCACUUAUAGAUGGAUCCGCGCUGCAUUAGCUAGUUGGUAAGGUAACGGCUUACCAGGGCAACGAUGCAUAGCCGACCUGAGAGGGUGAUCGGCCACACUGGAACUGAGACACGGUCCAGACUCCUACGGGAGGCAGCAGUAGGGAAUCUUCCGCAAAGGGCGAAAGCCUGACGGAGCAACGCCGCGUGAGUGAUGAAGGUCUUCGGAUCGUAAAACUCUGUUAUUAGGGAAGAACAUAUGUGUAAGUAACUGUGCACAUCUUGACGGUACCUAAUCAGAAAGCCACGGCUAACUACGUG